UGAAUACGAGACGCUAAGGCGUCGAAGUAGUGUAUGUCAUGCUUCCAAGAAAAGCUUGCACUGUCAUAGAUAAAAAACGCCUGUACCAUAACCGACACAGGUGGGUAGGUAGAGUAUACUAAGGGGCGCGAGAUAACUCUCUAAGGAACUCGGCAAAAUAACUCCGUAACUUCGGGAGAAGGAGUGCCUUAUUCGUAAGGUUGCAAUAACAAGAUCCAAGCAACUGUUUAUCAAAAACACAGGUCUCCGCUAAGUCGUAAGACGAUGUAUGGGGGCUGACGCCUGCCCAGUGCCAGAAGGUUAAAGAAGUCGGUUAGCAAUUGCGAAGCUGGUAACUGAAGCCCUGGUGAACGGCGGCCGUAACAAUAACGGUCCUAAGGUAGCGAAAUUCCUUGUCGGGUAAGUUCCGACCCGCACGAAAGGCGUAAUGGUUUGGAUACUGUCUCGGAGAGGGGCUCGGUGAAAUAGACUUGUCUGUGAAGAUGCGGACUACCUGCACCAGGACAGAAAGACCCUAUGAAGCUUUACUGUAACUUGAAAUUGAAAUUGGACUUUAUUCGCGCAGUAUAGGUGGGAGGCGUUGAUUAUAAUCUUGCGGGAUUAUUGGAGCCAUCAGUGAGAUACCACCCUUGUAAUGUUAGAUUUCUAACUUUGAAUCAUUAUCUGGUCAAAGAACAGUUUCAGGCGGGCAGUUUGACUGGGGCGGUCGCCUCCUAAACGGUGACGGAGGCGUACAAAGGUUUCCUCUGAACGGUUAGAAAUCGUAUCUAGAGUGUAAAGGCAUAAGGAAGCUUGACUGUGAGACCUACAAGUCGAGCAGGGACGAAAGUCGGUCUUAGUGAUCUGACGGUACUGAGUGGAAAGGCCGUCACUCAACGGAUAAAAGUUACUCUAGGAUAACAGGCUGAUCUCCCCCAAGAGUUCACAUCGACGGGGAGGUUUGGCACCUCGAUGUCGGCUCAUCGCAUCCUGGGGCGGUAGUACGUCCCAAGGGUUGGGCUGUUCGCCCAUGAAAGCGGUACGCGAGCUGGGUUCAGAACGUCGUGAGACAGUUCGGUCCAUAUCCGGUGUAGGCGUUAGAAUACUGAGAGGAGCCUUCUUUAGUACGAGAGGACCGAGAAGGACAUACCUCUGGUGUACCAGUUAUCGUGCCAACGGUAAACGCUGGGUAGCUAUGUAUGGAGUGGAUAACCGCUGAAAGCAUCUAAGUGGGAAGCCCACCUCAAGAUAAGUAUUCUCA
Molecule: ribosomal RNA, 1240 nt
Filed under: metagenome
Description: bacterial LSU rRNA
Rfam family: Bacterial large subunit ribosomal RNA
Source: RNAcentral